This 375-nucleotide ribosomal RNA is filed under the name uncultured Gemmatimonas sp. RNAcentral's name for it is "bacterial SSU rRNA". It matches the Rfam family "Bacterial small subunit ribosomal RNA", at positions 28 to 412 of the family's 1533-position model. Lineage: Bacteria; Pseudomonadati; Gemmatimonadota; Gemmatimonadia; Gemmatimonadales; Gemmatimonadaceae. The record is from RNAcentral.
GACGAACGCUGGCGGCGUGCUUAACACAUGCAAGUCAGGGGGCGGAGCAAUCCGUCACCGGCGAACGGGUGCGUAACACGUGAGCGACCUGCCCAGGGAUGGGGGAUAGCCGGCCCAACGGCCGGGUAAUACCGCAUACGACGCCGGCUUGAGCGCCGGACGUGAAAGCCCGCAAGGGCGUCCGUGGAGGGGCUCGCGGCCUAUCAGCUAGUUGGUGCGGUAACGGCGCACCAAGGCGAUGACGGGUAGCUGGUCUGAGAGGAUGGCCAGCCACAUUGGGACUGAGAGACGGCCCAGACUCCUACGGGAGGCAGCAGUGGGGAAUCUUGCGCAAUGGCCGAAAGGCUGACGCAGCGACGCCGCGUGGAGGAUGAC